RNAcentral lists this long non-coding RNA (967 nucleotides) under Arabidopsis thaliana (thale cress). RNAcentral describes it as "long non-coding RNA (ATHA_LNC000658)". Lineage: Eukaryota; Viridiplantae; Streptophyta; Magnoliopsida; Brassicales; Brassicaceae. The record is from RNAcentral.
CUGCAAUUGCUUGAAUCAUAUUCCAUGACAAUGCAACCCCAAAAGUCCUCCAUCUUCUCCGAAACUACUCCAUCAUUCUUCUUCACUCUGAAAACCACAUGCCAAUGAAGUUAUUCAAACUAUAUUCCAGCAUAAUUUUGAAACUUACUCUUAAACAACAAGCUUUGCUACUAUACUAUGAGCCUAAUAGAUUUUGAUGCUUAUUAAGAUUUUCACAAUCCUGCAGUUAUAAACUUAUUAAUAACGUUGUUGGGAUCAUUUGUACAUGCAACAACAAUGAAUCAUUUAGCUAUUCACCAUCAUCAUUUCAUGACUAGUUCCUUUGGAUCGGCACAACUUCAUUGUACUCUCAACUCAUCCUUAUUUUUUUUGUAAAAGUUGGAUGAUAAUGCAAAUCAAUAGAGCAUUGAAAUUGGCUACAUCAAAAGAGGAACGAAUGAAAGAUACAUGAAUCGGAAACUGAGAAAGUGAUGAGACAAACUAUGUACCUUUCAUGUUAUUCCCUUUAAGUAUCAUGUGCUUGAUACAACAAGGAAAAACAACUGGUGAUGUGUGCAUGUGCAAUGGAUUAUAUCUGCAAACAAAAGGACAUUGAUUCAAUUCAGAUUUAGCCUACAGUCCAUCCUAAAAUGGAUACAACACCAGAUAAAGAGAGACAAACACACACGCACUGCACCACUUGAUUAUACAUACAGAGAUAGCAAUCCCUAACUCGAAAGGACAUUAAAGACAGUGUAGAAGAUUGUCUUUUGAAAUCAGAUUGAUCUCAAAACCAUAGAAAUGAAUGCUGUUAUCUUAAUGAAAACUUUUGAGAUUACGAGUUGUCUAAUUUCUCCGAUCAAAACACAUAAAUUCUCAGCGAAUAGUCACUUUUCCCGCUUAUCAUCCCGUGGCCGCUUAUCCAUACUCUUGAUCAACACAGCUUAUCGCUAGCUGUUCGAUGACCUUAUUUAUUGAUAAUCAAAAU